RNAcentral lists this long non-coding RNA (625 nucleotides) under Pongo abelii (Sumatran orangutan). RNAcentral's name for it is "lincRNA". Lineage: Eukaryota; Metazoa; Chordata; Mammalia; Primates; Hominidae. The record is from RNAcentral.
AGAACUCAUGGACUCAACAGAUUGUCCCACCUCAGCCUCUCAAAGUGCUGGGAUUAUAGAUGGAGUCUUGUUGUCGCCCAGGCUGCUGGAGUGCAAUGGUGCAAUCUUGGCUCACUGCAACCUCUGUCUCCUGGAUUCAAGCGAUUCUGCCUCAGCCUCCCAAGUAGCUGGAAUUACAGCUCAAAGGACCUGUCAUAAAAAUAUUAACUUGUAAUAAAAGUGUUUAGUAGCACUAAUAUGUGAUGGCAAUUUCAGGAAAGUCAAUGUUCUGAGCAAGAAGAACAAGGAACAGAAGGUAUAAUGAUAACAGAUGAGAGAGGAAAAAGCAGACUCAAUCAACCCUUACGUUUCCAUCAUUUUUCCAUUACAGAGAAUUAUCCUCAAAUUAGAAGGAGUAGGACCUACAUGGUAAAGAAAAAAUUUACGUGCAAGGCAGAUGAGGAAGUAAGAGAGCAUCCAGCCACUUCACACAACUUCAUUCUCUGUCUUACCAAAAGAAUGUGAAAUGUGGUGGUAGCUUUACUGGGGACAGGAGAGGUGCCAGAAGUUUGAAGAUGGACUAAUCUCCUCGUUUUCUAAAAGAAGAACCUAUAAGUCUCUGAGCACAUUUUUCCUUGGCAAAAUU